AAGGGGAUCAAGGUCAGGAAUCCGACGCAAGCUUGCUUGCGGGAGGAUUCCUGACUUUGAGACCCGCCAGCCACAUGAGUAAGCAGCCAUUUUUCGUAAGAAAAAUGAGCGGAUUACGAAUGUGGCUGGGAGAAUCGCGGGAGCACGCAGUGCGGAGCGAUUCGG
Molecule: small RNA, 165 nt
Filed under: human gut metagenome
Description: Clostridiales-1 RNA
Rfam family: Clostridiales-1 RNA
Source: RNAcentral